GCUGGGCAUGGUGGUGCACGCCUGUAGUCCCAGCUACUUGGGAAGCUGAGGCAGGAGAAUCCCUUGAACCCAGGAGGUGGAGGUUGCAGUGAGCCGAGAUCAUACCACUGCAUUCUAGCCUGGGCAACAAAGGGAGAUUCUGUCUAAA
RNAcentral lists this small RNA (148 nucleotides) under Macaca mulatta (Rhesus monkey). RNAcentral describes it as "Metazoan signal recognition particle RNA (ENSMMUG00000062690.1)". Lineage: Eukaryota; Metazoa; Chordata; Mammalia; Primates; Cercopithecidae. The record is from Rfam by way of RNAcentral.